Molecule: ribosomal RNA, 440 nt
Filed under: uncultured Brevundimonas sp.
Lineage: Bacteria; Pseudomonadati; Pseudomonadota; Alphaproteobacteria; Caulobacterales; Caulobacteraceae
Description: bacterial SSU rRNA
Rfam family: Bacterial small subunit ribosomal RNA
Source: RNAcentral
CCUACGGGCGGCUGCAGUGGGGAAUCUUGCGCAAUGGGCGAAAGCCUGACGCAGCCAUGCCGCGUGAAUGAUGAAGGUCUUAGGAUUGUAAAAUUCUUUCACCGGGGACGAUAAUGACGGUACCCGGAGAAGAAGCCCCGGCUAACUUCGUGCCAGCAGCCGCGGUAAUACGAAGGGGGCUAGCGUUGCUCGGAAUUACUGGGCGUAAAGGGCGCGUAGGCGGACAUUUAAGUCAGGGGUGAAAUCCCAGGGCUCAACUCUGGAACUGCCAUUGUAACUAGGAGUCUAGAGUGAGAGAGAGGUAAGUGGAACUCCGAGUGUAGAGGUGAAAUUCGUAGAUAUUGGGAAGAACACCAGUGGCGAAGGCGACAAACUGGCUGAUUACUGACGCUGAGGCGCGAAAGCGUGGGGAGCAAACAGGAUUAGAUACCCGGGUAGUC